UCUUGUGGAAACACGAGAGUGCCUUCGGGAGCCCGAAGACAGGUGCUGCAUGGCUGUCGUCAGCUCGUGUCGUGAGAUGUUCGGGUUAAGUCCCGCAACGAGCCGCAACCCUUAUCCCUAGUUGCCAUCAGGUAAAGCUGGGAACUCUGGGGAGACUGCCGGUGAUAAACCGGAGGAAGGCGGGGAUGACGUCAAGUCCUCAUGGCCCUUACAUCCCGGGCUACACACGUGCUACAAUGGCAGGUACAGAGGGCUGCGAAGCCGCGAGGUGGAGCGAAUCCCAGAAAACCUGUCUCAGUCCGGAUUGAAGUCUGCAACUCGACUUCAUGAAGGCGGAAUCGCUAGUAACCGCGAAUCAGCAGGUCCGCGGUCGAAUACGUUCCCGGGCCUU
RNAcentral lists this ribosomal RNA (391 nucleotides) under uncultured Latescibacterota bacterium. Its description in RNAcentral is "bacterial SSU rRNA". It matches the Rfam family "Bacterial small subunit ribosomal RNA", at positions 996 to 1382 of the family's 1533-position model. The record is from RNAcentral. Lineage: Bacteria; Pseudomonadati; Candidatus Latescibacterota.